AAGGAUUGGGUGAUUGGGUACUUUCUUUUUUAAAAAAAAACCAAAAAAAAAAACCCACCGUUUCCUCCAG
RNAcentral lists this microRNA precursor (70 nucleotides) under Mus pahari (shrew mouse). Its description in RNAcentral is "miRNA (MGP_PahariEiJ_G0007559.1)". Lineage: Eukaryota; Metazoa; Chordata; Mammalia; Rodentia; Muridae. The record is from RNAcentral.